Long non-coding RNA from Manis pentadactyla (Chinese pangolin), 801 nucleotides. RefSeq lists it as uncharacterized. The transcript is spliced from 3 exons. The record is from RefSeq and is a predicted model, not a curated record. NCBI's taxonomy places the organism in Eukaryota, Metazoa, Chordata, Mammalia, Pholidota, Manidae.
ACUGUAAUCAGUUGCCUUGGAAAGGAAGGAAACACUGGCCCUUCCUUUAGAAGAGGAUGCUCAUUCAUGGGAACAAGUACUGCACAGAUUGUCCUGAGACCUGAGAUCAGAAUGUUCAAAUCACAGAUCCUGAAAUUCUCAGAUUAGCUCAAAGAUCCUGGAACAUACCUAACUAAGAACUCAGGGUCCAAAAGUUCCCUGCCUGCCGUGGCUUUUCAAAUCUAACACUCUUCCCAAUAAGAGAACGUUGAAGAUGGGAAGUCAAUUUGGCCAGGUUGGGAGUGUGAAAAUCAGUAAAAGGAAAGCUCAAUGGCAUGGCAUGGGGAGGCCAGCAGGGAAGCUCUCCCACCCAUUACUCUUCAAAAUUCGCAGACCACAGAAGAGAGGGAAGCCAUACUGUUUCAGCCACUUCACUCCCCUGCAGAAGUAGGCUUCCACCUUCCGCCUCCCCCCGGAGCCAAUGAAAGCCUACAACAUGUGAAGACUCGUUUACCCCAGUGGACGUUUUGCUUAGAAUAAGGCUCCCAACUUGACUCCCUUCCUCAGUAAGAGUGGUCCUCUUCUUUGUUCUGGGACCAUGCCUGUGGAUUUGUCUGUAGCUUGCAUGUCCCAAAUUAUGAUUCUCUACAAUUCCUGAAUAAACCCAUAUUUUGGCUAGUAAAAUAACUGUUUCAUUUUUAAGGCUAACAGGAGGUUGCACUCUAUGAAAUCAGCUAUACUCAAGAUACAGCAGAGGUUUCCAACCCAGAAGCAGUGCUUAGUUGCCCAAGUAAAUACAGGCUUAGUUGCCUGUAUUUCUAC